GCUUGGAUGGCUCAGUUGGUUAGAGCGCAGGUCUCAUACGUAACGUAUGACCGCCGCACGGUGGGCAAUCCUGAGGUCGUGAGUUCGAUCCUCACUCCGAGCA
RNAcentral lists this transfer RNA (103 nucleotides) under Pilatotrama ljubarskyi. RNAcentral describes it as "tRNA-Met". It matches the Rfam family "tRNA". Rfam says of the family: Transfer RNA (tRNA) molecules are approximately 80 nucleotides in length. Their secondary structure includes four short double-helical elements and three loops (D, anti-codon, and T loops). The record is from RNAcentral. Lineage: Eukaryota; Fungi; Basidiomycota; Agaricomycetes; Polyporales; Polyporaceae.